UCGUUCUUGCUCCCAAUAUUUAAAUCCUAUAGUACCUGGAAGUCACUGGGCAACUCACCCCAACCAUCCGACAGACUGCCAUUGGUUACCUUCAGAGCGGUUACCAAGGACAAUUGAACUACAGGCACAGUGAUGGUUCAUACAGCACGUUUGGUUACGAUGCAUCCAAUACAUGGUUGACCGCCUUCGUCAUGAGGUCUUUUGGCCUAGCAAGGCGUUUCAUCUUCAUUGAUCCCAGUGUCCUCCAGUUUGGC
Sinocyclocheilus rhinocerous is the source of this 254-nucleotide long non-coding RNA. RefSeq lists it as uncharacterized. NCBI's taxonomy places the organism in Eukaryota, Metazoa, Chordata, Actinopteri, Cypriniformes, Cyprinidae. The transcript is spliced from 3 exons. The record is from RefSeq and is a predicted model, not a curated record.